This 310-nucleotide ribosomal RNA is filed under the name uncultured Planctomycetota bacterium. RNAcentral's name for it is "bacterial SSU rRNA". It matches the Rfam family "Bacterial small subunit ribosomal RNA", at positions 29 to 351 of the family's 1533-position model. Lineage: Bacteria; Pseudomonadati; Planctomycetota. The record is from RNAcentral.
AAUGAACGUUGGCGGCGUGGAUUAGGCAUGCAAGUCGAGCGAGAAGUUUCCUUCGGGAAAUGGACAGCGGCAAACGGGAUAGUAAGGCAUCGGUAACGCACCCCCAGGACCGGGAUAGCCGAGGGAAACUUCGGGUAAUACCGGAUAAUAUCUCCGGAUCAAAUGGUGAGAUUCCGCCUGGGGACCGGCUGAUGUGAUACCAGCUAGUUGGUAAGGUAACGGCUUACCAAGGCUUAGACGUCUAGGGGGUGUGAGAGCAUGGCCCCCAUCACUGGGACUGAGACACUGCCCAGACACCUACGGGUGGCAG